Molecule: ribosomal RNA, 576 nt
Filed under: uncultured eukaryote
Lineage: Eukaryota
Description: SSU rRNA
Rfam family: Eukaryotic small subunit ribosomal RNA
Source: RNAcentral
UUUGUUACUUCAAACCAAUCGGACAACAGUCUGACAUCAAGUGAUAUUGAACAAUUCAGCUGAUCGCACGGUCUAAGAACCGGCGACAUAUCCUUCAAAUGUCUGCCUUAUCAACUUUCGAUGGUAGAUUAUGCGCCUACCAUGGCUGUAACGGGUAACGGAGAAUCAGGGUUUGAUUCCGGAGAGGGAGCCUGARAAACGGCUACCACAUCCAAGGAAGCCAGCAGGCACGCAAAUUACCCACUCCCGGCACGGGGAGGUAGUGACGAAAAAUAACAAGCUGGUCUCAAUGAGUUCCAGCAUUGUAAUGGGAACAAUUUAAAUCUUUUAUCGAGGAUCUAUUGGAGGGCAAGUCUGGUGCCAGCAGCCGCGGUAAUUCCAGCUCCAAUAGCGUAUAUUAAAGUUGUUGCGGUUAAAAAGCUCGUAGUUGGAUCUAGGAUUAGGGCUACGGUCGUUCAGCUUGGACGUACUGUAUGCCCGACUCCUUUUCUCUAGUAUUCGAUUGUUGCUCUUAAAUGAGUGACUUUAGUUGCUGGAACUUUUACCUUGAAAAAUUGAAGUGCUCAAAGCAGGUUA